UGCGCAGGCGGUUAUGUAAGACAGGUGUGAAAUCCCAGGGCUUAACCUUGGAAUUGCACUUGUGACUGCAUGACUAGAGUGUGUCAGAGGGGGGUAGAAUUCCACGUGUAGCAGUGAAAUGCGUAGAUAUGUGGAGGAAUACCGAUGGCGAAGGCAGCCCCCUGGGAUAACACUGACGCUCAGGCACGAAAGCGUGGGGAGCAAACA
RNAcentral lists this ribosomal RNA (207 nucleotides) under uncultured bacterium. Its description in RNAcentral is "partial 16S ribosomal RNA". It matches the Rfam family "Bacterial small subunit ribosomal RNA", at positions 568 to 774 of the family's 1533-position model. The record is from RNAcentral.